Long non-coding RNA from Brassica rapa (field mustard), 2205 nucleotides. RefSeq lists it as uncharacterized. The record is from RefSeq and is a predicted model, not a curated record. Lineage: Eukaryota; Viridiplantae; Streptophyta; Magnoliopsida; Brassicales; Brassicaceae.
UGUUCCCGUGCUCCAAUUGAGUAGUACACGGAUCUCCGUUGAUAACCAAUUGUGUAUUGCAAGCCAUGAGACCAAGGAGUAUUUCGUAUGAAAACCAUAUGCCUUAUGCCAUUUUAGCAGGCUGCAUCGCACAACCACAGCUAAAGCCGCUUUUUCUCAGUAACUCGAUGGCUACAUGAGAGGUGUUUCCGUUCCAGUCAAAGGUUAAGUCCGUGAUAAAUAUAAGACAGGAGACACGGUGACAUUGAGCUGAGAGAUAGUGGUGGUUUACUGACAAAUCACACGACCAAAAAGAAGUAUAAACUGAAUGCGAUCGGUGAUGCCCAACCGGUUAUUGACGCUCGUGGUAUCUUUGCUUAUGCUACGAACAUAGGAAUGAUUCCAUCUCCAUCAGUAGCUUAACUCUUCUUCACAUUCAUUGUGUGUAACAGAGUAAGUUUGUAAAUAAAACUGGUUCCUUAAAGUAAUUUUAACCAAAUUUGGUUUGUUAUCGGUUAUCUGAUUUGAACGGUUUAAUAAAUUGGUAGUAUUAAAAUUAACCAUAAAGCAACCGGUUCAGAAAAAAACAAGACAUCGCUAAACCUAGACUUGUGUCUCUUUAUAACGCCGCUUCUCUUCAAACAUUGUCUUCACACUCGGAAAAAACAUGUCAACCACGGCGGUUAAACCCUCCGCCCUAAAAAGAUUCGGAACCCAUCACGACCACAAUAGCGAGAGUAACGGCGAUGAACAACAACCUCCAUCAGCUUCUUCUUAAUGCAGCUUGACUCCGCCAUUAGUGUCAAGCUCUCAGCUUUAGAGCUUGAUCCCAUUAAAGAUAAAUGUAUAGUAUAGUUGCUUUAUCUCAAAACUUGUAUCAAAAUGUAAGCAACUUGGGAGAGCAUAUAAAGAUGUGUUUUGGGUCUCCCUGGAGAGAGAGAGAAGGUUGAUCCUGGAAACCCAUAUGUUCUCGUUGCUAGCUCCUCUGCUUUGAGAUCUUUGGAACUUCUGAGGUACCGUUGUGAGUUUGUGUUCUGGUUUUUGUUGUUGUUUGACUUAAACUGAGAUCUCUUGUGUAUGAAUGUUUACUGCUUUGUGUGAACUUUUGGGAUAUGAUGACAACAAUACGUAAUCUCUAAGGCUAAUGCUCUGCAGAUUAAAAUGUAUUUGCACGUCAGUCUGAUCCCGUUGUAGAUAACAUUAGUAGUUAAUGCACAUUCAUGUAGUUCAUCCCUUUGUUUAUUUCAUGAUAAUAAGAGUAUGGGAAGUGAUGAUAAGAUAUAUCAAUAUGUCAUAGGCACAUGCAGUGCUGAACAACAUCUUUGCACGUCAGUCUGAUCCCAUUAUGUACCCAUCAUUUUUGUUGUGUGCUUGUAGCACAAAGCUUAAUGCAUCUAAUCAGGUUAUUUAUUCCUCUUUUUUCAUAAUAAGAGUUUGGGAAAUGAUGAUAAGAUAUCAAUAUGUCAUAGGCAUAUGCAAUGCUGAAUAACAUAUUUGCACGUCAGUCUGAUCCCAUUAUAUACCCAUCAUGUUUGUUGUGGAGCAUAAAGCUUAAUGCAUGUAUUCAGGUUAUUCAUUCCUCUUUUUUUUUCUAUUUCUUUCAUGACAAGAGUGUGGAGAAUGAUGAUAAAGAUAUCGAUAUUACAUAGGCAUAUGCAAUGCUGAACCUAAUAUUUGCACGUCAGUCUGACCCCAGCUCUUGUUUCUUUGUUUUAUUUUUCUUACAAGUCAUAUUCUUCUUGUUGGUUGUGUUUGUAUACUCAGUUCUGUUGUAGAUCUCUCAGUCUCAAUUGGUUAUAUUAAGUUGAAUUCAUUAUUGGCGUAGCUUUCACGUUAAGCCCACAGUCAGGUUUGUUUCGCCACUCUUCAAUAAGUUCCUUUCAUCAUCAUCAAACUUCACUACUAUUUUACAGUUCUGAAAAAAAAAAGAAAUGAUGUUGAACUUUUGCAGAGAUGAGUUUUGGGAUUUGUAUAAGAACUGCUUCCACCAGAGAGUCCUAGAAGGAAGUCUACGUAUCUGUCUGUAUCGUCCAAAGCCACCACCAGCUCCAAAGCUUAAGAACAAUAAGAAACAUAGACGAAACCAGCAUUGAACUAACUUUGUGAGAGAAAUUCACUGUUGUGUUAAUUAGUGUUCUUUUGGCCUAAAGUAGUGCACUUAGAUUCACUCGGAAAAAAAUGAUCCUCUCAAAGUCAAAUCAAUAGAAGGAUUAUGUGUUAAUGUUU